UCAACACUACAACCAGACGCGCGGCGCCA
RNAcentral lists this small RNA (29 nucleotides) under Bombyx mori (domestic silkworm). RNAcentral's name for it is "ovarian small RNA-24545". Lineage: Eukaryota; Metazoa; Arthropoda; Insecta; Lepidoptera; Bombycidae. The record is from RNAcentral.